GUAAUACAUCUGACAAAGGCUUAAUAUCCAUAAUACAUAAAGAACUCUCACAACUCAACAACAAAAAAUUAACCCCAUCAAAAAGUGGGCAGGAGACAUGAACAGACAUUUCUCCAAAGAAGAUAUACAGAGGCCAAUAGGCACAUGAAAAGAUGUUCAUCAUCGCUGAUCAUCAGGGAAAUGCAAAUCAAAACUACACUAACAUAUCACCUUACACCCAUUAGAAUGACAAAAACAGCUAAAACAAAUAGUAACAAAUGUUGGAGAGGUUGUGGAGAAAAAGGAACCCUCAUACACUGCUGGUGGAAAUGAAAACUGGUGCAGCCACUAUGGAAAACAGUAUGGAGAUUCCUCAAACAGUUAAAAAUAGAACUACCAUAUGAUCCAGCUAUUCCACUACUGGGUAUCUAUCCAGAGAGCUUGAAGUCAGCAAUUCCAAAAGACCUAUGCACCCCAAUGUUUCUUGCAGCAUUAUUUACAAUUGCCAAGAUGUGGCAGCAACCUAAGUGCCCAUGAACAGAUGACUGGAUAAAGAAGAUAUGGUAUAUAUAUACACAACGGAAUACUACUCAGCCGUAAAAAAGAACAAAAUCGUCCCAUUUGCAACAACAUGCAUGGACCUUGAGGGAAUUAUGUUAAGUGAAAUAAGCCAGAUAGAAAAGGACAAUCUCUGUGUGACUCCACUCAUAUGAGGAAUUUAAACCUGUGGACAAAGAGAACAGAUUAGUGGCUACGAGGGGAAAGGGGGGUGGGGGUGGGCACAAAGGGUGAAGGGUUGCACCUACAACACGACUGACAGACAGUAAUAUACAACUGAAAUUUCACAAGAUUGUAAGUUAUCGUUAACUCAACAAAAAAUUUUUAAAAAAAGAGAAUGAAAUAUGCAGGAAUAAAUUUAAUCAAAGAGAUUCAAAACUCAAACAAUGAAAACUACAAAACAUUGCUUAAAGAAAUUACAGAAGACCUAAAUAAACAGAAUGGCAUCCCGUGUUCAUGGACUGAAGGAUUUAAUAUUGUUAAGAGAGCAAUAUUCCCCAAGUGACCUACAGAUUCAAUGUAAUCCCUAUCAAAAUUGCAACAGCCAUUACUGCAGAAGUAGAAAAGUUAAUCCAAAAAUUCAUAGGGAAAUGCAAGGGAUCCCACACAGCCAAACCAAUCCUGAAAAAGAACGACAGUUGGAACACUCUCACUUCCCAAUUUCAAAACCUGCUACAAAGCUGAAGUAAUUAAAACAGUGUGGUACUAGCAUAAGGAUAGACAGAGACCAAUGGAACAAAACAGAACAGCCCAGAAAUAAAACCAUACAUCUAAAGUUAACUGAUAUUGGACAAGGAUGCCAAGACCACUGAAUGGAGAAAGAAGAGUCUCAUCAACAAACGGUGCUAGGCAAAUUGUAUAUCCACGUGCAGAAGACUGAAGUUGGAUCCCUAUCUCACAUCACGUACAAAAACUAACUCAAAAUGGAUUGAGACCUAAAUAUAAGAGAGCUAAAAUUAUAAAAU
Molecule: long non-coding RNA, 1502 nt
Filed under: Equus caballus (horse)
Lineage: Eukaryota; Metazoa; Chordata; Mammalia; Perissodactyla; Equidae
Description: lncRNA (ENSECAG00000051531.1)
Source: RNAcentral